AUGUCUGGGAAACUGCCUGAUGGAGGGGGAUAACUACUGGAAACGGUAGCUAAUACCGCAUAACGUCGCAAGACCAAAGUGGGGGACCUUCGGGCCUCAUGCCAUCAGAUGUGCCCAGAUGGGAUUAGCUAGUAGGUGGGGUAACGGCUCACCUAGGCGACGAUCCCUAGCUGGUCUGAGAGGAUGACCAGCCACACUGGAACUGAGACACGGUCCAGACUCCUACGGGAGGCAGCAGUGGGGAAUAUUGCACAAUGGGCGCAAGCCUGAUGCAGCCAUGCCGCGUGUGUGAAGAAGGCCUUCGGGUUGUAAAGCACUUUCAGCGGGGAGGAAGGCGAUAAGGUUAAUAACCUUGUCGAUUGACGUUACCCGCAGAAGAAGCACCGGCUAACUCCGUGCCAGCAGCCGCGGUAAUACGGAGGGUGCAAGCGUUAAUCGGAAUUACUGGGCGUAAAGCGCACGCAGGCGGUCUGUCAAGUCGGAUGUGAAAUCCCCGGGCUCAACCUGGGAACUGCAUUCGAAACUGGCAGGCUAGAGUCUUGUAGAGGGGGGUAGAAUUCCAGGUGUAGCGGUGAAAUGCGUAGAGAUCUGGAGGAAUACCGGUGGCGAAGGCGGCCCCCUGGACAAAGACUGACGCUCAGGUGCGAAAGCGUGGGGAGCAAACAGGAUUAGAUACCCUGGUAGUCCACGCCGUAAACGAUGUCGAUUUGGAGGUUGUGCCCUUGAGGCGUGGCUUCCGGAGCUAACGCGUUAAAUCGACCGCCUGGGGAGUACGGCCGCAAGGUUAAAACUCAAAUGAAUUGACGGGGGCCCGCACAAGCGGUGGAGCAUGUGGUUUAAUUCGAUGCAACGCGAAGAACCUUACCUGGUCUUGACAUCCACAGAACUUUCCAGAGAUGGAUUGGUGCCUUCGGGAACUGUGAGACAGGUGCUGCAUGGCUGUCGUCAGCUCGUGUUGUGAAAUGUUGGGUUAAGUCCCGCAACGAGCGCAACCCUUAUCCUUUGUUGCCAGCGGUCCGGCCGGGAACUCAAAGGAGACUGCCAGUGAUAAACUGGAGGAAGGUGGGGAUGACGUCAAGUCAUCAUGGCCCUUACGACCAGGGCUACACACGUGCUACAAUGGCAUAUACAAAGAGAAGCGACCUCGCGAGAGCAAGCGGACCUCAUAAAGUAUGUCGUAGUCCGGAUUGGAGUCUGCAACUCGACUCCAUGAAGUCGGAAUCGCUAGUAAUCGUAGAUCAGAAUGCUACGGUGAAUACGUUCCCGGGCCUUGUACACACC
This 1281-nucleotide ribosomal RNA is filed under the name Klebsiella pneumoniae. RNAcentral's name for it is "bacterial SSU rRNA". It matches the Rfam family "Bacterial small subunit ribosomal RNA", at positions 113 to 1391 of the family's 1533-position model. The record is from RNAcentral. Lineage: Bacteria; Pseudomonadati; Pseudomonadota; Gammaproteobacteria; Enterobacterales; Enterobacteriaceae.